GCCCCCAGUGUCCCGUUCCCAGAGAGAGGACAGUGGAGAGCCUCUGAGGAAGGAGCUACAGGAGACCCCCUUAGGAGGCAGUGAAGACCCCCCACUAGAAAAUAAAGGCCAGGAGAGCAGAGGCUUUGUGCACAGCUAGGUCGUAAGAAACAACGUGGCUCCUGCCUUGCCUGCUGGGACACUGCCUUCGGAGACUUGGCAUCACCAUGUUCUGAGGAAGCCCUACAUGGUGAGGUCCCAUGUAGGUGCUCGGUAGGAGUCAGCACCUCUAAGUGAGCUUCAGCCAAGAGGCAGCAGCAACUGCGAACCGUGUGAGCAGCCCUCUGGGAGACGCAGCCGCGCUGAGCCCUCCGGACUGCAGCACCAGUCGACAUCUGAAUGCAGCCGUGUGAGAGACGCCAAGUGAGAACCACCCAGCUGAACCCUGCCUUCCCUCCCUUCUACGACCACAGAGUUGGUAUGGAAAUUAAGCCAGUAGACUGGAAUUUUCCCCAACUUUCGAGUGUUGUCGAGCGCUUCGGGUUGACACAGAUGUUGAGAAGUGCAGCUCCCAGCUCCACGGGGAUACGCAGGAGGCUGCAGAGCUCCUCUAAAACCCAUUUGUCCCUGUUGUUUCCACUAGCUUUUUACUAGUUGGUGGCAUUAGGAUAGGUGUGAAGCCUCCUUCUGUCUUUGGGGCUGGAAAACAUCCUCCUUCUGUUUAGCUCCCAAUCUCAGAAAUCCUGAAGUGCAGAAAAGUCAGAACCUCUCACCAGCCCGCUUCCCAGCGGCGCUUCUCACGACGACACGGAAAGAGUCCAGACAGAGCACCCAGCCCCAUCUCCUGCGUCUCCGCUGCACAGCCCACGCCACAGAGAGGCUCCCCUGCCCUCAUCUACUCACUGGCUUGCUCCCUCCUGCACAUUAACAGCCGGCGAGAGAGGAGAGAAACUCUGGAAAGAACCCAAAGUGCCUAUUAGAUGAUUGUUAUUAUGUUGGUGCCUGUUGCAACCAUAUAAAUCUGAGGUCUUA
This is a long non-coding RNA of Lemur catta (Ring-tailed lemur), 1011 nucleotides long. RefSeq lists it as uncharacterized. The record is from RefSeq and is a predicted model, not a curated record. Lineage: Eukaryota; Metazoa; Chordata; Mammalia; Primates; Lemuridae. The transcript has 3 exons.